UACAGAGGGGGCGAGCGUUAAUCGGAUUUACUGGGCGUAAAGCGCGCGUAGGCGGCCUUUUAAGUCGGAUGUGAAAUCCCCGAGCUUAACUUGGGAACUGCAUUCGAUACUGGGAAGCUGGAGUAUGAGAGAGGAUGGUAGAAUUCUAGGUGUAGCGGUGAAAUGCGUAGAGAUUUGGAGGAAUACCGAUGGCGAAGGCAGCCAUCUGGCCUAAUACUGACGCUGAGGUACGAAAGCAUGGGGAGCAAACAGG
This 253-nucleotide unclassified non-coding RNA is filed under the name uncultured Moraxellaceae bacterium. RNAcentral's name for it is "contains 16S-23S intergenic spacer region". It matches the Rfam family "Bacterial small subunit ribosomal RNA", at positions 524 to 776 of the family's 1533-position model. Lineage: Bacteria; Pseudomonadati; Pseudomonadota; Gammaproteobacteria; Moraxellales; Moraxellaceae. The record is from RNAcentral.